UACGUAGGGGGCAAGCGUUGUCCGGAAUUAUUGGGCGUAAAGCGCGCGCAGGCGGCCUCUUAAGUCUGAUGUGAAAGCCCCCGGCUCAACCGUGGAGGGUCAUUGGAAACUGGGAGGCUUGAGUAUAGGAGAGGAGAGUGGAAUUCCACGUGUAGCGGUGAAAUGCGUAGAGAUGUGGAGGAACACCAGUGGCGAAGGCGACUCUCUGGUCUAUAACUGACGCUGAGGCCCGAAAGCGUGGGGAGCAAACGGG
RNAcentral lists this unclassified non-coding RNA (253 nucleotides) under uncultured Caryophanales bacterium. Its description in RNAcentral is "uncultured Bacillales bacterium contains 16S-23S intergenic spacer region". It matches the Rfam family "Bacterial small subunit ribosomal RNA", at positions 524 to 776 of the family's 1533-position model. The record is from RNAcentral. Lineage: Bacteria; Bacillati; Bacillota; Bacilli; Caryophanales.